CCCCUAGACGUUCUGGGCUGCACGCGCGCUACAAUAAUACGCACAGCAAGUAUCACCGAGCUCGAAAGGGCAAGGUAAACAAUAGAAAAGGUACUGUAAUGGUUAUAGAUCCUUGUAAUUAUUGAUCUUCAACGAGGAAUUCCUAGUAAGUAUGUGUCAUCAUCACGCACUGAUUACGUCCCUGCCCUUUGUACACACCGCCCGUCGCUCCUACCGAUUGGGUGAGCCGAUGAAACUCUCGGAUGUAGGCUAUUCAUAGCCCGCAGAAGAGAUUUGAAUCGUAGCGCUUAGAGGAAGGAGAAGUCGUAACA
This 311-nucleotide ribosomal RNA is filed under the name uncultured eukaryote. RNAcentral describes it as "partial 18S ribosomal RNA". It matches the Rfam family "Eukaryotic small subunit ribosomal RNA", at positions 1470 to 1796 of the family's 1831-position model. The record is from RNAcentral.